RNAcentral lists this ribosomal RNA (264 nucleotides) under uncultured bacterium. RNAcentral describes it as "partial 16S ribosomal RNA". It matches the Rfam family "Bacterial small subunit ribosomal RNA", at positions 91 to 353 of the family's 1533-position model. The record is from RNAcentral.
CUUAGUGGCGGACGGGUGAGUAACGCGUGGGUAACCUGCCUUAUACAGGGGGAUAACAGUCAGAAAUGGCUGCUAAUACCGCAUAAGCGCACAGGACCGCAUGGUGUAGUGUGAAAAACUCCGGUGGUAUGAGAUGGACCCGCGUCUGAUUAGGUAGUUGGUGGGGUAAAGGCCUACCAAGCCGACGAUCAGUAGCCGACCUGAGAGGGUGACCGGCCACAUUGGGACUGAGACACGGCCCAAACUCCUACGGGAGGCAGCAUG